Phacochoerus africanus (Common warthog) is the source of this 607-nucleotide long non-coding RNA. RefSeq lists it as uncharacterized. NCBI's taxonomy places the organism in Eukaryota, Metazoa, Chordata, Mammalia, Artiodactyla, Suidae. The transcript has 3 exons. The record is from RefSeq and is a predicted model, not a curated record.
UUAAAAAAAAAAAAAAAAAAGCCUUUUGUUAAAACACAGCUCCAAGCGGACUGGGAAGCAGCCCCACCGCCUCCCCGACCCGGGGCGGGCUGUGUCGUGAGCGCGAAGCUGGUGUGAAGAAAACACAAACUCCAGCAGAAGGGACGCGGAACAUGCAGGAGACCAUGGCAAACGGAGCUACUCCUGACGCCUCCCCUCCCUCCCGCCUGCCCGGGGCCUGGCCUGGAGUGACCGGAGCACAGGACCCAGGGCCCAGAGGACAGGGCCCAGGACCCGCGCAUGGCCUGAAGAGCAGCAGUGACAUUGAGCAGAAGCUCCUUCAGGGCAGGCAAGGUGCUGCACAUGUGUCUGUCCCUCCCGGAGACGCUGGCAUGUGGUAGAGAGUGGACAUCAACAUAUAUCCACCAGGGAAUAAACACACGGCCCAGCUGGGAAACGCCCCUCAAGAGGGGGACAGCAGGCAGGCCACGUUUUUGGCCCCAUCGGCAUCCUGGGGGCUGCAGGACAUGGAGGUGGGACUGCCCGAUGGGGGGACUGUCGUUACUUUGCUUUAUCUUUUUGAUUGAUUGAUGGAUUGAUUGAUUUGUAUUUUAGGGCCACACCUGUG